UCCACGGAGGGAAUCGCAAGCGAGAGAGGAACUCAAGAUCACCUCGGACCGUCAGGCUGAGAGUCACCGGCUACAGGGGGUGUUAGAACAGCAAGGACCACGCCCGUCCAGGGCCGCCGGAGGCGGGCAGUGGCGGAAAGCCGCGGGCGGUAAGAGGCUGCCGCUGAGUGCUGCAGCGCCUCGGGGCGCGGCACUGCCAGUGGUCAGGGGCCAGCCCGCGGACGGGCGCUGAUCCACGUGGGCUGCGGUGACCCGGGGCCACCGGUGGCUGGAGCCGCCGAUCGGUGGGGGCCGCGCUCGUAGAUCAGAAGGUUCCGUGUGCGCGGGGCCGCCAGCAGCGGGAACCGCAGUCGGCGGGCACCAGAAGUGGCGGAAAGCUGCGGGCAGCGAGAGGGCCGCCGCUAGCUGCAGGGAUCGAAAGCGCUAGCCACGGUACAACCCCGGCGCCGCAGGUUCUCCUGUGCAGGGCUGCCAGUGGCGACUGCGAGGCGCCCAGCACGGUAGCGCCCGGCGGGGCGGACCCGCUCGCGCGGGGUUUUCGGGCCGGGAAUCCACGUGGGCGACAGCGACUCGGGGGCACUAGUGCAGUAGUAGCACACGGGGGCGUGGGAGCCCCAGCCCGCCGCACGCCCUGGCGCCGAGUGGAAGCCACAAGUCCUGGUGUGUGGGCCGGGAGAGGGAGGAGCCGAUACUGGCAGCGUGCAGUGAAGACCGGGCAGAAAUCACAUCGGCUCACUUCAGCAAGAGCAGUGAGUAGCCUAAUGUCUCGCUGGUUCUCUGUUUGCUUUUGCUUUCUUAGAGAAAGGCAGGGAUUUUUAAUUUUUUUUUCUUUUCUUUGUCUUCUCUUAGCUGUUAAGAAAGCAAGAUUAUCUUGCAAAGAUCUGUGAGUAGCUAUUAAGAGGGGGCUUUUGUUGCAAAGGGCUGAAAGAAAGAAAUGGGCCUAAGAACAAGUAAAGAAUUCCCAAGGGGAGGGAAAAAUGAAAGGAUAAUCCUGAACAGCCCCCUGGGAAGAAGACUAACCUGGUGGAGAUGUGACCCCAACACCAAGAGUGAAGAUAAGGUUAUGCAGUAUUGUGUGAUAGAGUGGACUAAGAGGGAGACUGGAUCCAACCAGGUGUACAGGCCGCGGUGAGUUGAAAGAAGAGUUGGAUGUGUCUGGUUUUAAAUAUCCAUAUAAAAAUUAAAUAACAACCCCAGUACAGAUCAGGGAGACAUGGUGUAUGCUUUGUUUUCCUCCCUUUUGCUGCCUCCUACCUUUUUAUUUGUCAACUCUAACUUUUAAUCAAGUGUAGCACAUGUUAUGAAUAGAAAAUUGUAUUUUUUUUUAGUUUCAGAGUUAAAAAAAAGCAAGUCAAACCGGUCAGACUCCUUUAGGUUCCCUGUGGAAGAAAAGCCCUUAAUCACUCGUUGAUGGCCGGUGAUUAACUGAUUGUUUCCCUGAGGCUGGCUGCAUACCAAGAAGAUACCAAGGGAAACCCUCCAGGGUAAAGAGAUGGGCAGUGACACCAGAAACAACAUGCAAAUGACAAAUGCAGUGCAACCUGGGUUUUUACAGUUUUACAGUUUUUAUAAGAAAAACCCCUAAAAUCACGAGCCAAUAAGUGACUUAAAGUGACGUCUAAGGAUGGGAGCAUUGUCCCGUACCUGCUUGUAUCUUUUUAUUUCUCACCCUAACCUGAAAAGAAACUGAUUAAAGAGACCCCCCGGGUUUCUAAACCAACAAGUCAAGGACUCAAUGACUCUCCCGUGAGGACAGAGUCCCCAGUUCUGUCUGCAGACCAGCGGACAAAACUGCAUCAUCCUCCUGCUUUGUGCCACGCCUGGGAGCAGCGGCGGCGAGGGCGCAACCCGUCGAUUUCUCCCCACCUGAGCUGAUUCUUCUUAAUAAAGGCAUUAAAAAGGAGAAAGAUCUCCUGCCCAUUUAUUUCAGCACAGAAUAGUCAUUCUACACUCAAAUUUAGUGUUUUGAGUAAAAAGUUAUCAAUUUUAUUUUAAGGUUGCAGAAUUAAAACAAGUUGGACCAGUUGCUCUUAAGUUGAAGGUUUGACUAUUUGUUGUUGAUAGCUUCAUGUUGCAGUCACCUAUUGUUGAGAGUUUUUCUUCGAUUGCCUGUUAAUGGUUGCUGAUCAGCACAAUUGUCCCCCUUCUGCUUCCCGGGGAGUGACACCAGACCCUGCAGGUAGCAGGGGGGGAGUGACAUCAGAACUGGUAUGCAGAUGAGAAUGCAUUUCACCAGAUUUUGCAAUUUUCCAGGAAAAAAACCUAAAAACAACGAGCCAACAUGAAAUUAAGAGACCUAGGUAAUGUCUAAAGGUGAGGAACUUAAUCCAGUAUCUGCUAGGAUCCUUUUUACUUCUCACCCUAACCUAAAAAGAUGUUAACUAGAAAGAGGACCUGGAAUGUUAAACUGAAAAAGUGGAAUUCCCACUACUCCCUGGAGGACGGAAGCCCCAGCUCUGCCUGCAGACCAGCGGACACAGCUGCAUCAUCCUCUUCCUCCGUGCCACUAUUGGGAGAAGCGGCGGUGUGGGCGAUCUGUUGUUUCUCCCCAGCCUGAGCUGAAUCUUUGUAAUAAAGGCAUUAAAAAGGAGAAAGAUCUCCUGCCCUAUUUAUUUCAUUUAGCACUAACAAGUGCUACUUCUCUUUCAAGUUAAGAGAAGAGCUUGGGUGUCAAAACCUUUCUUUCAGUUCAAGAUAAUACCAUGAUGAACUCUGUUUCAAAGUCACUGUCAACCCUGCAGAGAGGCCUGGAGCUUUCCUUACCCUGUGUGCCUGAUCCCCAAGAGACUGUGAGCUGCCUUCAACAGAAACAGGGUCCACAGGUACCUUCCCUCAGUUAAGGGCUCUCUGUAUCCUUUUCUUCUCAAGCCAUGAUGAUGUUCUUCAAGCUUUCAAGUUAGAAACAAGUCAGACCUCUUUGGUUUCGCUGCUGCCGAAGAAAAGCUCUUCAAAUACCUGUUAAUGGCCGGUGAUUAACUAUUGUUUCCCUGAUGCUGGCCGCUUGCCAAGAAGACACCAGGACAGACCCUCCAAGAUACUGAUUAAAGAGACACCCCGGAGUGUUAAACAAACAAGCCAGGAAUCUGCGACUCUCCCGUGAGGACAGAGUCCCCAGCUCUGUCUGCAGACCAGUGGACAAAGCUGCAUCAUCCUCCUUCUCCAUGCCACGCCUGGGAGCAACGGCGGUGUGGGCACAACCUGUCGAUUUCUCCCCAGCUGAGCUGAUUCUUCUGAAUAAAGGCAUUAAAAAGGAGAAAGAUCUCCUGCCCAUUUAUUUCAGCUUGGGGGACUCGUCCGGGAUAGCCAUGCCUGAAGAGGACACCAGGACUGGGACGGCCGCCCACCCUGGACCUGCAGGACAGUUGGCUAUUGGGACCAGAGAAGAUCAGCUUGGGACAGUGACACGGAGCAGCGCCGGAUAGGUGAGAAUAUCCGGCGGCGGGAGAGGGAGGUGAGCGAGUGUGUGUGAGUGAGACGAGGGCCCGCAGCUCGGCCCCUCGAAGCGAGUGAGGACCCCUCAGUACUGCGGUUCCGCACCCCCGCGAGGGGGCCGGCUGGGAACAUGGGGAAGCGAGUCGAACUGGUGAUUGAGGCGCCUCCAAAGGGGUAAAGAGGACCCCCUCCAGGUGUCCGGAGGAAAUACUGUGUGAGUGGCACGCACCCCAAAAGCCCUGAUACAAGUCCUAACGAGGGAAGUUAGGCGAUUUAGAAUAUCAGGCAGUUUUGCCCUGACGAAGGAGGUCAGGCAAACCUCAGAGGUCAGGACCUCGAGGAUUUUUUUUGUGUUUUGUUUGUUUGUUGAGUCUUGGCAAGAGAAGGCCAAGGUCUCAACAAAGUCCUGACGAAAAAGGUUAGAGAAAUUGGAGUUUUGGCAGGAGGUCGAGACUUCUUAAAUAAGAUAUAUUUCCUUUAGAGAAAAAGGCAUCUUUGUGAUUUGUUUUGAGGCAGAAAAAAUGGGAGGAUGCGGUAGUAAGAAAAGUGGCCAAAGACUGAGGAAUAUACCUCCCCACAGUCCCCUAGAUGAACUAUUAGAGAAAUGGGACUCUAUAGAAGCCACAGAAGGACUAGAUAAAGUUAAGAUGAUUCAUUACUGUUCAGAAGUGUGGCCAGAAUUAGAGGUGCAAGGAGGAUGGCCGUGGUGUGGGACGAAAGACAAGUGGAUGUGUCAACAGCUGAGUAACUAUCUGACGGCUCGAGAGGAUACUGAUCGUGAGCAAUUAUUAUAUGUAGCUUGUUGGUUGAAUGCUAUAAAGAAUGAAGGAGUGCAAAUUUGUAAAGUGCAGAACAAGAAAGAAGAGAAUGAAAGAGGAGAUGCUGGAGUUAAAGAAAUUGGUAAAAGGUGGGACCCCCUAGACUACUUGCCUCCUGAUGCCCCUCCACCUUAUUAUCCUCUCCUUCGAGCACCUCAAAUAGCAGAUCCAGUUCUUCUCCCAGCUGCCAUGGGAGCCAUUCCCUCACCACCCCCUUUGACUCCUUUAGCUGCUUCUGCACCACCACUAAUACCCACUUCACCUGCUGCAUGCUCCACCCCUUCUCCAGCUCCACUUAACAUGCACCCAAGCUCUUCUCCCCCUCCUACUGCUGUCCCUCCACCUCCUCCUAACUGGGACACAAAUGCCUCCUUAUCUAGUAACCCCUUAUCACCAGGUACAGCCGUUAGCCUACAGCAAGUCCAAGCUAAUGCUAAUACCCCUCAAGUGAACAGUCUUGUGUCUGAAGAUGAGCCAUACUGUGGUACCCGAUCCAAGACCUCCACAGUAGAGAGACUUUUUCCCCUUAGAGAAGUUCCUAUGGGAGGAGUAGCAGGAGGUGUUGGUUUUAUAAAUGCUCCUCUACAUGCUUCUGAGGUAAAAGGAUUCAAGAAGGAGUUAGGGAAUUUAGUUGAAGACCCCGUGGGCAUUGCUAACCAAGUGGAUCAGUUCUUAGGUCCAAAUUUCUACACUUGGGGGGAGAUGAAUUCCAUUCUAAAUAUAUUAUUUUCCCCAGAAGAGUCCCGAAUGAUUAGGGCCGCAAGCAUAAGAAUUUGGGAAAAAGAUAAUCAUCCAGGGCCCCAA
Passer domesticus (house sparrow) is the source of this 5054-nucleotide long non-coding RNA. RefSeq lists it as uncharacterized. The record is from RefSeq and is a predicted model, not a curated record. Lineage: Eukaryota; Metazoa; Chordata; Aves; Passeriformes; Passeridae. The transcript has 3 exons.